GUGCUCGCUUUGGCAGCACAUAUACUAAAGUUGGAACUAUACAGAGAAGAUUAGCAUGGCUCCUGGGCAAUAAUUCAUGUAGCAUUCCAUAUUUUA
Molecule: small nuclear RNA, 96 nt
Filed under: Sorex araneus (European shrew)
Lineage: Eukaryota; Metazoa; Chordata; Mammalia; Eulipotyphla; Soricidae
Source: RNAcentral